ACCUUUCAAAUAGUAAAUAACCUCUCCACCAUCACCUUGUAGUCUGCGGGCAAGAAUUCUACGCUGCGGUUUCUGGAGACCGGCGUUGCGUCCACCACCAACAUCCACCGUUUCUCCAAAACGCGUGUGCAGCUAUUGCCCUUGCCGCCCUUUUACCGUAAAAGCUAGACUCUUUGCCAUGGCGAGGAUUUUGCGGCACCCUCGGGUUUUCUCAAGCAGGAAAUCGGCGCCAUACACGCUUGUAUUUACCGUUCUCCUGCUGCUUUCGGUAGUGCUACUCAUGUUGCUAGGUCUAGGUAUCUUUUCCCUUCCGAUCGACUCUAAUGACUCCCCCAAAGGCAUCCGCCGCGCCGAUACAGAAAUUUCCGAUACUGAUGGGACGACGAAGAGAGGAAAGCAGUGGACGGAGUUACUCUCUUGGGAGCCCAGGGCUUUUAUAUACCAUAACUUUCUUUCAAAAGAGGAAUGUGAACAUCUUAUAGAAUUAGCGAAGCCUCAUAUGGCGAAGUCUACCGUUGUUGAUAGUACCACUGGCAAAAGUAAAGAUAGCAGGGUGAGAACCAGCUCUGGAAUGUUCCUUUCAAGGGGGAAAGAUCAAAUUAUUAAGGCAAUUGAGAAAAGAAUAGCUGAUUUUACCUUCAUUCCAGUGGAACAUGGGGAGGGGCUUCAAAUUCUACAUUAUGAAGUAGGGCAGAAAUAUGAACCUCACUUUGACUAUUUUCUUGACGAAUUCAAUACUAAAAAUGGCGGCCAAAGAAUUGCUACUCUCCUCAUGUACCUUUCAGAUGUUGAAGAGGGUGGCGAGACUGUGUUCCCUGCCGCAAAAAUGAACAGCAGUGCUUUACCGUGGUACAAUGAAUUAUCAGAAUGUGGAAAGAAGGGCCUUUCUUUUCGACCUAAAAUGGGAGAUGCUUUACUUUUCUGGAGCAUGAAGCCUGAUGCAACUCUCGAUCCAUCCAGUUUACAUGGUGGAUGCCCAGUGAUUAAAGGGAAUAAAUGGUCCUCUACCAAAUGGAUGCAUGUUAAUGAAUAUAAAGUUUAGCAAUUUCCCCUAAAGGUCUUUGAAGAGGUUCCAAUUGUCUCCAACAGCCUCUCAAAAUGGCUAUCAAUUAUCUCCUGGCAUUUUUAUGUAUGCGGGCAUUGACUCCAUGGGGUUGAAUAUAAGUACGAAGAGUUUUCCUCUUUAGAAACAACAAGCUUGGUGCUUGGGUUUUGUCCGUCUAACAAAAUAAACUAUGUACUUAACAACAUUUUUUACAAAGGUUGAGUGGCAAAACACUUCUCUCUGUAGAGCAUAAUGUUGUACUAGAUUAGAUUGCUCGUUGACAUAUUAUUAUUAUUUUUUUGUAUACUUUGACUGUUCAUGGUAACCUGCAUAUCAUGCAAUAUGAAUUAUGUUUGAGCACAUAUAUUCUUGUGACAUGCUAUAUAGAAUUUGCAGGCUUUG
RNA transcript from Phalaenopsis equestris, 1447 nucleotides. It is a transcript of the gene named probable prolyl 4-hydroxylase 3, with no coding region annotated. Lineage: Eukaryota; Viridiplantae; Streptophyta; Magnoliopsida; Asparagales; Orchidaceae. The record is from RefSeq and is a predicted model, not a curated record. The transcript is spliced from 9 exons.